This 478-nucleotide ribosomal RNA is filed under the name uncultured bacterium. Its description in RNAcentral is "partial 16S ribosomal RNA". It matches the Rfam family "Bacterial small subunit ribosomal RNA", at positions 28 to 523 of the family's 1533-position model. The record is from RNAcentral.
GACGAACGCUGGCGGCGUGCUUAACACAUGCAAGUCGAACGGUAAGGCCCUUCGGGGUACACGAGUGGCGAACGGGUGAGUAACACGUGGGUGAUCUGCCCUGCACUUCGGGAUAAGCCUGGGAAACUGGGUCUAAUACCGGAUAGGACCACUGCCUGCAUGGGUGGUGGUGGAAAGCCUUUGCGGUGUGGGAUGGGCCCGCGGCCUAUCAGCUUGUGGGUGGGGUGAUGGCCUACCAAGGCGACGACGGGUAGCCGGCCUGAGAGGGUGACCGGCCACACUGGGACUGAGAUACGGCCCAGACUCCUACGGGAGGCAGCAGUGGGGAAUAUUGCACAAUGGGCGCAAGCCUGAUGCAGCGACGCCGCGUGAGGGAUGACGGCCUUCGGGUUGUAAACCUCUUUCAGCACCGACGAAGCGCAAGUGACGGUAGGUGCAGAAGAAGGACCGGCCAACUACGUGCCAGCCGCCGCAGUAA